Molecule: long non-coding RNA, 1986 nt
Organism: Schistocerca serialis cubense
Lineage: Eukaryota; Metazoa; Arthropoda; Insecta; Orthoptera; Acrididae
Exons: 4
Source: RefSeq, a predicted model, not a curated record
CCAGCCAAAUAGGAGUAUUGUGCAUUUUUGACUACUUUCUAUACAGCUAUGAGAAAAGCUGUUGCUUUGUUCGGUUGUUGUCGUUCGAAACCACUGCAAUCUUUUGCAUCAGCAACCCAAGGGAGUGGAGAUCAAGUCACCUACAUAGCUACCCGUCAUGAAAAGCAGAUGGAAAAAUUGACUGGUGGAAAUAAAGAAUGCUAUUGAACACAGUCUUUGGAAUUCCUGCAGCAGAACAGGCGAGUACAACACACACACACAUUGCGCCGACGCGGACUCUUCGAGUAUUUGCUGCUCUAAAUAAUUAUAAAAAGUGUUGUUAUUAAGCUAUUUUUAAAUGUUUGCAGGUGUUAUAAAUAUAAUAUAAGUGUUGUCACAUUAGUGGAAGUGUUAGUGAAGUGUUAAACAAGAUUAAACGGGACCUCACGCCAGCCUGCGUGAGCUAAAACGCAUGCCUUUCGGCUUCCUCUCAAAACCGGGUUGGCUCUCUUGCCAAUCGACAACAGGUCUGUAUGCUGUAGUGAGAGACCCAUCAGUAUCAGCAGAGUCAUUCUUCUCAAAAACGGCGGCAAACAUUACCAGUGUUUAUGAGGAAUGACAUUUUGAUGUUACACUAUGUGUAGAAAUUAAUGACAUUAUGGCAUAGUCUGCAAAAUGGUGGUUAAUUUUAACGUAAUUUAUGACAUAAAAUUGAUGUUACAGUGUGUAACUGUUUCACUAGCAUUUUAUAAUGUCAUGGCACAUUCUGCAAGGGGUGGAAAACAUUUGUUCUUCCACUCCUUUAUGGUAAUUAUGUGUGUUGGAAUGUCAUCAAAGUUAAAAGUGGUAGCCAAUAUUACGAUAAUUAAUGUUCCAAAAUGAUGCCAUCAAGUCUGAUACCUUAAUUAACAUUAUCAACAUCAAAGUAUUGGACAUAUCCGGCCCAAUAGCUGAACAGUCAGCACGUUGGAUUGCCACACACAGGGGCCCGGGUUUGGUGACCGGCUGGGGAGGGAGAUUUUCUCCCCCCAGAGACUGGGUGUUGUGCUGUCCUCAUCAUCAUUUCAUGCCCACUGUCGAUGUGCUAGUCGCCCAAUGUGGCAUUGCACUCAAUAAGACUUGCAGUUGGCAGUCAAACUUCUCGACUGGGAACUCCCGGCCACUGAUGCCAUACGCUCAUUUCCAUUUCCAGUGUUGGAUAUAUUUUGAAUGCACCCAGUAGAUGGAAAUGGCUGAAUCUACCCCAUGCCUGUGAAUACCAGCCAUCUCCAUCUGCUGAAGCUGAUUCCCAAUCACCUCCUCAGUCCCGAUAUAAUUUAUUCAUCAAAUUUAACCAAAUGUAAUGACUGAAAAGGAAAUCAAAAUAAUUACAUAUUUUAACUGAUUAUAAAAGAAAUAAAAUAAAAUAAAAAUAAAAUCUCAAGCAUGAGAAAAAAUUUAGAUUUGUGAGUAAAGGGAUAAAAUUUUUUAAAAAAUUCUAAAAAUAUUCUUACUUUUUAAAAAUGUAAUAAAACCUUUUCUUAUAAAUUAAACCACAGAAUAUGACUAACAUAUGAUAAGAAUUUAAGUUUGACUAAAAUAUUUUUAAUGAGGGAAAAAUAUUUUUAACAAACCAAGAGAGAAAAAAGUCAAAACUAAUAUUUACAAAACCAUUUUUAAACCAUCUUUAAUUAUAGAAUAUUUUAAAAGCAAGGAACACAGAGUACUGAAUAUAUACUAAAUUAUAGUGAUGAUAAUUGGUAUGAAGAUCAGGAAUUUGUUUUUAAUUAUAAAGAAUGUAUUAUAGAUAUUUGUGAACACGAGAAAAAUCAAUUUUUUUUCUUUUUUGUAACUUUAAAAGAAUUUGAGAACUAUCAGAAAGAUAUUGGUGAUUUAUUAUUAUACAUUUAUUGUGAUAAUUAUAUUUGUUUAUCAAAAACUCUUGUGAAUAUUGUGAUUUGCAAAUGUAAUUAAAGAUUAUAUAAAAUUUUAUAUAGUAUUUUUACAAGUUUCUCACUCAAUAACCAA